This 232-nucleotide long non-coding RNA is filed under the name Elaeis guineensis (African oil palm). Its description in RNAcentral is "long non-coding RNA (EGUI_LNC068294)". Lineage: Eukaryota; Viridiplantae; Streptophyta; Magnoliopsida; Arecales; Arecaceae. The record is from RNAcentral.
UCAACCUAUCCAGACAUCGGGUCUCAUUGCUAGAUGGUUAUAUCAAUUAGUAUAAAAAAUUAUUUCUAUGCUAUCAGCUUAGGUUCGAACCUAUAGGGUCACAUACAUUAGAAGAAAUGGUCUGAUAUGAUAGCUGAAGAGUCCAAUUGGAUUGUCUCUGGUGAAGAGUCCCAUUGAGACUGAGACUCUGGAGGAGAGUCCCAUUGGAUUGGAACUCUAUUUUUAAUAAAAA